RNAcentral lists this long non-coding RNA (220 nucleotides) under Phoenix dactylifera (date palm). RNAcentral describes it as "long non-coding RNA (PDAC_LNC013214)". The record is from RNAcentral. Lineage: Eukaryota; Viridiplantae; Streptophyta; Magnoliopsida; Arecales; Arecaceae.
GGUUGUGGUUGAGCUGGUAGCUUAGCCUUCUCUUGAGCACUUAAAGCAGUGGUCAGCGUUGUCAGUUGAUUUCUUUAUCAUUGAUUUUAGCUUGACCUUGCAUGGAAGAUUGCAAAGUUUCUUCGAGACUGAAUUUUUGAGGGGGUGCAUGUGCAUAAUGAGGUUGCGGAGGUGGAGGAGUUGGGUUAUAUACUUGUUGAGGUUGGUCAUUCCUCCACCU